GUUUAAUUACGAAUACCUCAAAUCUUCCCACAUAGUCUCUAUCCAUAAUCCUCCAUCUAACCUUCAUGCUAACUUGUGAGUGGUGUGAUGUGGGAGUGUGUUUAGUAGUGAAUGCUGAUACCAGCAUGGUAGGAAGAGAACAGAAAGAUGUCAUCGAUUCUUGUUCAUCCCUUCUCUCUGCAACUCUUUUCAUGAGCCCAAUGCCCGGUGAAUGAAUGAGUGUGUGUGAGCGAGUGUAUGUUUAUCACAGUCCCUGUAUCAGGGAUGCAAACUCGUCACUUUUUGACGAUAUUUCCUGUUUUGAGCUUAAAAUAGGUAAUCCACGGGAAUCGUGUAGAUCCAUAAAAAUAACUUUUGUGGUGGUGGGGGCUCACAAAGUGCGUGGACGCAGUGUAUCACCUGUUGAACUAUAAAAGAGAGGUGCGAACGGAUCUUCUCCCUGUGUGAUCACCACCAGAGAUACUGGAUAUAGUGAUGAGAUGCUUGUGUCUCCGCCCUCAACAAUGGGAUUCGUUGUCCACAGAGCGGAACGGCGGGCUGUCAAGCUCCCGCCUGUUCUGCUCUUUUUAGGGAGGGAUAAUUCUUGGGCUGCUGCGUAGUCACAAUGGGAACUCUUUCUAGAGCACCCGGUUAAAUUGUGCAUAACAGUAGGGUGUUAGGUGACGUAACAAACAAUGAACGCUAUACGAUAAUUCUCCAAAAAAACACAGGCUAAUCAAAUCCAUUUAAAACUAAAUGUCAAUAAUGUGAUCAUCAAAAUACAUAGUAAAUAAUUUCAAAACACAAGCAUGUUUUAAGUCUAAAUGGUUAAUGUAGUGAGAAAUAUGUGAUUAUUGUAAAAGGUUGUGAGGUUGCAUCAUUUACUAUCAUCCUGAAUUAAAAUAUGGAAUCAUUUUUGCCGUAUUAAAUAAUUUUAUAUAUGCUAUUUUCCUUGAUGUGGACAAUGUGUGUUACUACAUUACACAAGCUCACGUUUUGAACACAUCAAAUUGGGGGAAUUACUCAUCCUUUUUACAUCAGAUUGGUGGUGAUAGUGUGAAAGUUUAUAGUCAUCGAUUUGUUGUAAAUGUUUCCUACCGCUUAUUUUGUGAUUUUACAUUUAUAUCGUGGAAUCAUACAUGCCAUCUCACAUUGUGGUACAUAGUGUAUUACAAUUUGAGGCAUUUGCAUGGCUAGGAAAGUGCAAAGAUAUUUAAUUAAAACAACUCAAUCUAUUUGUGUGCGCUUGUAUGUGUGUGGGAGGGGGGACACUGUAUGCUACUGACCUUGUAUUGACCUUAAUCCCCAAAUAACUGCCAGGUGUGUGUUUGAAGAGGGUGGUGGGGUGUCUGUGUUUACUUUUGUAUCUAUGUCACUGGCUUUCAUGAUCUGCUUUAAUGUCUGUAUUUUAUCCAAUGAGGUGCUCAAUGUGCCCCACUAAACUAAUGCACUGCCAGGGAUAGCUGUCACUUUGGUUUGUGGGAAGAAGAUGGCACACGGCAACAGUGCUAGUAUGGAGGUAGAUAGUAUGAAGGGUAGGGGAAGUCAGGAUUUUGCUAGUGCGUUUUGAUUUGUCUAUUGAAAGGCCAUGUAAGGUUAGUGUUGACUAAUGGCAUAAUGCUGGUGAGCCGGGCACAGCCAGGCUCGGGUGAUUGUCCCAUGGUCCUGAGUUUACAAAUCAGCAAAGGUACUGUAUCAGAUGUUGUUUUUGAGAAACUUGGUGGGUCACAGGUUGACAGGCUACCAGGUCCAACGCUCUGUAAGUGGGCUUACAUGGUUUUGUUGGCACAUGUUUCAUUGCAACGUGGUGAAGAAGAUCUGGUUGGAGAGCUGCACUACUGUCUGCUUCCCAUGUUGAAGGAGUACGUUAUGGUUUCCCAGGUGCGUAUUUUCACAUUUAAAGUGAAUUCUAAAUUCCUUUUGGAUAAAAAAAAAAAUGAUAUACUAGGCCUACUCUCUAGGUCUCAUCAGUUGGAAGGACAUAUAAGCAGAGCAUUUGCCCUUAACUGCAAACCAUCUCUCUGUGUGGUCAUAAAAUAGUCUAAUUUUCCUUUAACAUGCCAUAAUUAAUUUACAGGACAGCCAAACCCUUGUCCACAAGCUGCAUGACAAGCAGCUUGAAGUGAUCACCACUUUCAUGGCAUGCUUCCUCAAGGCUGAGCAUCACCACACCCAAGAAGCUCAUGGAGAUGGACUUCAUUGACAAGAUGCUUCCUUCCAGAGAAUUGUAUGUUGGACCAGUGUCUGAGAAACUUAAGACAGAACAUCCAGGACACCCUAUUUUGCAGAAGUUUCUUAACGCGGUGAAGACCGCAUACAUGACAACUGCAGCCUACAUGCAGAAGAAAAUGCCCCUGGACAGCAUGACCCUGCAAUUGCUCUCUGCACAGGACCCAGUGGUGAGAGGCCAUUCACAGACUGGCAUCCUGUUGAAGCGGCUUGCUAGGAUGAUGUUCCAUCCGGAUUUCAGCUUCCACUGGAAGUCGUGAAGUUUAAUGUGGACUCUACCCUUCCCCCUUACAAGGAUGGUCCAGGAGUCUGACUGUCUUACAGAUGUUCCAGAGAGAUGAUGUCAAGUGGAGCAAGGGACUCUAAGAACAUCCGCACUGCAGGAAUGAAGGAUAAAGCUCAGAGACAGGAGAACCUGAUGAAGAGGGAGGGGUAUGGUUGCCAGCCAACAUCCAGUGCCCAACAGACCAGGAAGACUGCAGUGGAGGAGGAGAAGCAGGCCAGACAGGACACAGCUAAACAAAGGAAAAGAGCAAAAUAAGUUUUAGUCGAAGCUAAAAGGAAGGAAGCUAAAAUGUGGACUGUAGGUGAGAGUAGGCUAGAUGUGAGUGAUAACCUGUUACUGUUUAUUUUGAGCUUCAAAAUAAAAUAAUU
Molecule: long non-coding RNA, 2862 nt
Organism: Salvelinus namaycush (lake trout)
Lineage: Eukaryota; Metazoa; Chordata; Actinopteri; Salmoniformes; Salmonidae
Exons: 3
Source: RefSeq, a predicted model, not a curated record